This 395-nucleotide ribosomal RNA is filed under the name uncultured bacterium. Its description in RNAcentral is "bacterial SSU rRNA". It matches the Rfam family "Bacterial small subunit ribosomal RNA", at positions 8 to 432 of the family's 1533-position model. The record is from RNAcentral.
AGAGUUUGAUCAUGGCUCAGAACGAACGCUGGCGGCAUGCCUAACACAUGCAAGUCGAACGAGCACUUCGGUGCGAGUGGCGAACGGGUGAGUAACGCGUGGGAAUCUGCCUCAAAGUGGGGAAUAACCAACGGAAACGGUGGCUAAUACCCCAUACCCCCUGCGGGGGAAAGUUUUUCGCUUUGAGAUGAGCCCGCGUCGGAUUAGGUUGUUGGUGAGGUAAAAGCUCACCAAGCCUGUGAUCCGUAGCUGGUCUGAGAGGAUGAACAGCCACACUGGGACUGAGACACGGUCCAGACUCCUACGGGAGGCAGCAGUGGGGAAUAUUGGACAAUGGGGGAAACCCUGAUCCAGCAAUGCCGCGUGAGUGAUGAAGGCCUUAGGGUUGUAAAACU